AGCCCAGAGCCUGAAUCAGUGUGUGUGUUAGUGGAAGCGUCUGGAAAGGCGCGCGAUACAGGGUGACAGCCCCGUACACAAAAAUGCACAUGCUGUGAGCUCGAUGAGUAGGGCGGGACACGUGGUAUCCUGUCUGAAUAUGGGGGGACCAUCCUCCAAGGCUAAAUACUCCUGACUGACCGAUAGUGAACCAGUACCGUGAGGGAAAGGCGAAAAGAACCCCGGCGAGGGGAGUGAAAAAGAACCUGAAACCGUGUACGUACAAGCAGUGGGAGCACGCUUAGGCGUGUGACUGCGUACCUUUUGUAUAAUGGGUCAGCGACUUAUAUUCUGUAGCAAGGUUAACCGAAUAGGGGAGCCGAAGGGAAACCGAGUCUUAACUGGGCGUUAAGUUGCAGGGUAUAGACCCGAAACCCGGUGAUCUAGCCAUGGGCAGGUUGAAGGUUGGGUAACACUAACUGGAGGACCGAACCGACUAAUGUUGAAAAAUUAGCGGAUGACUUGUGGCUGGGGGUGAAAGGCCAAUCAAACCGGGAGAUAGCUGGUUCUCCCCGAAAGCUAUUUAGGUAGCGCCUCGUGAACUCAUCUCCGGGGGUAGAGCACUGUUUCGGCAAGGGGGUCAUCCCGACUUACCAACCCGAUGCAAACUGCGAAUACCGGAGAAUGUUAUCACGGGAGACACACGGCGGGUGCUAACGUCCGUCGUGAAGAGGGAAACAACCCAGACCGCCAGCUAAGGUCCCAAAGUCAUGGUUAAGUGGGAAACGAUGUGGGAAGGCCCAGACAGCCAGGAUGUUGGCUUAGAAGCAGCCAUCAUUUAAAGAAAGCGUAAUAGCUCACUGGUCGAGUCGGCCUGCGCGGAAGAUGUAACGGGGCUAAACCAUGCACCGAAGCUGCGGCAGCGACGCUUAUGCGUUGUUGGGUAGGGGAGCGUUCUGUAAGCCUGUGAAGGUGUACUGUGAGGUAUGCUGGAGGUAUCAGAAGUGCGAAUGCUGACAUAAGUAACGAUAAAGCGGGUGAAAAGCCCGCUCGCCGGAAGACCAAGGGUUCCUGUCCAACGUUAAUCGGGGCAGGGUGAGUCGACCCCUAAGGCGAGGCCGAAAGGCGUAGUCGAUGGGAAACAGGUUAAUAUUCCUGUACUUGGUGUUACUGCGAAGGGGGGACGGAGAAGGCUAUGUUGGCCGGGCGACGGUUGUCCCGGUUUAAGCGUGUAGGCUGGUUUUCCAGGCAAAUCCGGAAAAUCAAGGCUGAGGCGUGAUGACGAGGCACUACGGUGCUGAAGCAACAAAUGCCCUGCUUCCAGGAAAAGCCUCUAAGCAUCAGGUAACAUCAAAUCGUACCCCAAACCGACACAGGUGGUCAGGUAGAGAAUACCAAGGCGCUUGAGAGAACUCGGGUGAAGGAACUAGGCAAAAUGGUGCCGUAACUUCGGGAGAAGGCACGCUGAUAUGUAGGUGAAGCGACUUGCUCGUGGAGCUGAAAUCAGUCGAAGAUACCAGCUGGCUGCAACUGUUUAUUAAAAACACAGCACUGUGCAAACACGAAAGUGGACGUAUACGGUGUGACGCCUGCCCGGUGCCGGAAGGUUAAUUGAUGGGGUCAGCGCAAGCGAAGCUCUUGAUCGAAGCCCCGGUAAACGGCGGCCGUAACUAUAACGGUCCUAAGGUAGCGAAAUUCCUUGUCGGGUAAGUUCCGACCUGCACGAAUGGCGUAAUGAUGGCCAGGCUGUCUCCACCCGAGACUCAGUGAAAUUGAACUCGCUGUGAAGAUGCAGUGUACCCGCGGCAAGACGGAAAGACCCCGUGAACCUUUACUAUAGCUUGACACUGAACAUUGAGCCUUGAUGUGUAGGAUAGGUGGGAGGCUUUGAAGUGUGGACGCCAGUCUGCAUGGAGCCGACCUUGAAAUACCACCCUUUAAUGUUUGAUGUUCUAACGUUGACCCGUAAUCCGGGUUGCGGACAGUGUCUGGUGGGUAGUUUGACUGGGGCGGUCUCCUCCUAAAGAGUAACGGAGGAGCACGAAGGUUGGCUAAUCCUGGUCGGACAUCAGGAGGUUAGUGCAAUGGCAUAAGCCAGCUUGACUGCGAGCGUGACGGCGCGAGCAGGUGCGAAAGCAGGUCAUAGUGAUCCGGUGGUUCUGAAUGGAAGGGCCAUCGCUCAACGGAUAAAAGGUACUCCGGGGAUAACAGGCUGAUACCGCCCAAGAGUUCAUAUCGACGGCGGUGUUUGGCACCUCGAUGUCGGCUCAUCACAUCCUGGGGCUGAAGUAGGUCCCAAGGGUAUGGCUGUUCGCCAUUUAAAGUGGUACGCGAGCUGGGUUUAGAACGUCGUGAGACAGUUCGGUCCCUAUCUGCCGUGGGCGCUGGAGAACUGAGGGGGGCUGCUCCUAGUACGAGAGGACCGGAGUGGACGCAUCACUGGUGUUCGGGUUGUCAUGCCAAUGGCACUGCCCGGUAGCUAAAUGCGGAAGAGAUAAGUGCUGAAAGCAUCUAAGCACGAAACUUGCCCCGAGAUGAGUUCUCCCUGACUCCUUGAGAGUCCUGAAGGAACGUUGAAGACGACGACGUUGAUAGGCCGGGUGUGUAAGCGCAGCGAUGCGUUGAGCUAACCGGUACUAAUGAACCGUGAGGCUUAU
Molecule: ribosomal RNA, 2636 nt
Filed under: Escherichia coli
Lineage: Bacteria; Pseudomonadati; Pseudomonadota; Gammaproteobacteria; Enterobacterales; Enterobacteriaceae
Description: bacterial LSU rRNA
Rfam family: Bacterial large subunit ribosomal RNA
Source: RNAcentral